Molecule: transfer RNA, 60 nt
Filed under: Pheidole taipoana
Lineage: Eukaryota; Metazoa; Arthropoda; Insecta; Hymenoptera; Formicidae
Description: tRNA-Ser
Source: RNAcentral
AGAAAUAAAUUAAAUGAACUUCUAAUUCAUUAUAUUAUGAUUUCCAUCAUAUUAUUUCUU